AUGCGAUUCCUGCUCCGUCUCAGUGUGUUGUCGUUGCACGGGCAAUGGCGGACGGAGCCCGAGCAUUUGUUUGAAAAACGUACGUUUUGCACAAAUAUACUCGAAUAUCGAUCGGCCAGUCAAAGCGUUCAGCUCGCACGUGUGUUUUUGGCCCUGAUCAGAUCUGCGCCCGUCAGCAUGGAUGUGAAUCUGACCAUCUCUCUGAUGCGGGGCCAGAUGGGCGCUGUUAUCGAGAAAGCCGUGAACGUCGCGGUGGAGACCGUGUUAGGAGAGAUGAUCCGGGUGGUCGGGCUCAAAUUUGAGGAGAUCAAACGUGAUAUGACAGCUAAAGAGAAGGAGAAUGAGAACAUCAGGAGGAUGUUGGAGGCGUCCCGCUGUCAGAUGAAAACCAUGCGCAAGUACAUCAGCGUCCUGUCUGCUAAAGACCCCAACCAUAGACUGUAUCAGGGAGAUGGAGACAUGGCUACAACAUCCACAGGGAUGCACUGCAGAAGAGGGCCGACGAGCACUGUGUCAGUGUGUGCCACAACCCCAGUCCCCUGUCCCAGACCCAGACCCUCUGAGCCAGCCCCUGUAGCUGGACCCUCAUGGGUGAGACAGCAGAUGCACAUGUCCAAAGAAACAGUAAGAAGUGAGAAUCACAUUGCUGAUGUCCAUAUUGAAGAGAUCCAUGGAUCAUCAGUUCAUAAAGCUAUGUCAGAUGUGAGUCCAGGGAGUUUUGAAAAUAAUCAAUGUACAGCUGCAGAGAGGGCUAUUCUCGAGUCACAGGGAGAAAUGGACUGGAAAAUCAAUCACCUGACUGCACUGGUUCAGUGUCUUGUGGGGAACAGGUGCUUUGUGCCUCCACUUCAAAUGGAGGAUGAGGAAGAGGAUUGUGUCUUGCCUUUGAUGUCAAUGGAGGAUCUUGACCAAUUGGAGCAAAGACUUAUGGAUAGAGGGAUGAUGCAAAAAUUGGUAAGAUUCGUUGGAAUUAUGCAGUUAAAGAAGUGA
Cyprinus carpio (common carp) is the source of this 990-nucleotide long non-coding RNA. The record is from Ensembl. Lineage: Eukaryota; Metazoa; Chordata; Actinopteri; Cypriniformes; Cyprinidae.